Molecule: ribosomal RNA, 473 nt
Filed under: uncultured bacterium
Lineage: Bacteria
Description: bacterial SSU rRNA
Rfam family: Bacterial small subunit ribosomal RNA
Source: RNAcentral
AGGGUUCGAUCCUGGCUCAGAACGAACGCUGGCGGCAGGCUUAAUACAUGCAAGUCGAGCGGUCUCCUUCGGGAGACAGCGGCGGACGGGUUAGUAACGCGUGGGAACGUGCCCUUUAGUACGGAAUAGCCAUUGGAAACGAUGAUUAAUACCGUAUACGCCCUAUGGGGGAAAGAUUUAUCGCUAAAGGAUCGGCCCGCGUUAGAUUAGGUUGUUGGUGGGGUAAUGGCCUACCAAGCCUACGAUCUAUAGCUGGUUUGAGAGGAUGAUCAGCAACACUGGGACUGAGACACGGCCCAGACUUCUACGGAAGGCAGCAGUAGGGAAUCUUGGACAAUGGGCGAAAGCCUGAUCCAGCCAUGCCGCGUGAGUGAUGAAGGCCCUAGGGUUGUAAAACUCUUUCGCCAGGGAAGAUAAUGACGGUACCUGGUAAAGAAACCCCGGCUAACUCCGUGCCAGCCGCCGCGGUAAUA